RNAcentral lists this ribosomal RNA (486 nucleotides) under uncultured bacterium. RNAcentral's name for it is "partial 16S ribosomal RNA". It matches the Rfam family "Bacterial small subunit ribosomal RNA", at positions 28 to 507 of the family's 1533-position model. The record is from RNAcentral.
GAUGAACGCUAGCGAUAGGCUUAACACAUGCAAGUCGAGGGGCAGCACAAGGUAGCUUGCUAUCUGGGUGGCGACCGGCGCACGGGUGCGUAACGCGUAUGCAACUUGCCCUAUACAGGAGGAUAACCCGUCGAAAGACGGACUAAUACUGCGUAUGCUCACAACUUGCAUCAAGUGGUGAGGAAAGAAAUUCGGUAUAGGAUAGGCAUGCGUCCCAUUAGCUUGUUGGUGAGGUAACGGCUCACCAAGGCAACGAUGGGUAGGGGAACUGAGAGGUUUAUCCCCCACACUGGUACUGAGACACGGACCAGACUCCUACGGGAGGCAGCAGUGAGGAAUAUUGGUCAAUGGGCGCGAGCCUGAACCAGCCAAGUCGCGUGAAGGAUGACUGUCUUAUGGAUUGUAAACUUCUUUUAUACGGGAAUAACAAGAGUCACGUGUGACUCCCUGCAUGUACCGUAUGAAUAAGCAUCGGCUAACUCCGUG